Molecule: ribosomal RNA, 265 nt
Filed under: uncultured prokaryote
Description: partial 16S ribosomal RNA
Rfam family: Bacterial small subunit ribosomal RNA
Source: RNAcentral
UACGUAGGGUACGAGCGUUGUCCGGAAUUAUUGGGCGUAAAGAGCUCGUAGGUGGUUGGUCACGUCUGCUGUGGAAACGCAACGCUUAACGUUGCGCGGGCAGUGGGUACGGGCUGACUAGAGUGCAGUAGGGGAGUCUGGAAUUCCUGGUGUAGCGGUGAAAUGCGCAGAUAUCAGGAGGAACACCGGUGGCAAAGGCGGGACUCUGGGCUGUAACUGACACUGAGGAGCGAAAGCAUGGGGAGCGAACAGGAUUAGAUACCCU